CAUAGCGUAUGGAAGCGAAUGUUCUGAACUGAAACAUCUAAGUAGGAACAAGAAAAGAAAGAAAACUCGAUUCUCCAAGUAGCGGCGAGCGAACAGAGAACAGCCCAUUAAAGUAAGACUAAACUGAUAGACAAAUCUUAUGGAAAGAAGAACCAAAGAAAGUAACAGUCUUGUAGUCGAAAUCAGAAUAGAGACACUUUAAGAAGAGUACCACGGAGCACGUGAAAUUCUGUGGGAAGAUAGGGGGACCACCCCCUAAGGCUAAAUACUACCUGGUGACCGAUAGCGAAUAGUACCGUGAGGGAAAGGUGAAAAGAACCCCGGGAGGGGAGUGAAAUAGAACCUGAAACCUUGCGCCUACAAGCAGACAGAGGAAGAAGACUUCUAAUGUCGUACUUUUUGUAGAACGGGCCAGCGAGUUACGAUACGUAGCAAGAUUAAACAUUUAAGAUGUGAAGUCGUAGGGAAACCGAGUCUUAAUAGGGCAAAAGUUGCGUGUUGUAGACCCGAAACCGGGUGAUCUAUCCAUGGGCAGAGUGAAGGUAAAGUAAAAUUUACUGGAGGCUCGAACCGGGUAGCGUUUAAAAGCUAUCGGAUGACCUGUGGAUAGGGGUGAAAAGCCAAUCGAACUCGGAUAUAGCUGGUUCUCCUCGAAAUAGCUUUAGGGCUAGCCUUGUUUUAGAUUACAGGAGGUAGAGCACUGAAUAGUCUAGGGGAAGUAAUUCUACCGAAACUUAUCAAACUCCGAAUGCCUGAAAAUCGAUGAACAGGAGUCAGACCAUGAGGGAUAAGCUUCAUAGUCAAAAGGGAAACAGCCCAGACCACCAGUUAAGGUCCCAAAAUACAGAUUAAGUGGGAAAGGAUGUAAUACUACUCAGACAACCAGGAUGUUGGCUCAGAAGCAGCCAUACAUUUAAAGAGUGCGUAAUAGCUCACUGGUCAAGUGGUAAUGCGCCGAAGAUGAACGGGGCACUUAACAACAUACAACUGGCAUAAUAGCUUUUCUAUCGGUAGAGGAGCGUUGUAUAUGAGAAGAAGCAAAAAGCGUAAGCAAUUGUGGAUUAUAUACAAGUGAGAAUGCUGGCAUGAGUAGCGAAAAGGGAUGUGAGAAUCAUCCCCGUCGAAAGCCCAAGGAUUCCUGAGCAAGGCUCGUCCUCUCAGGGUAAGUCGGGACCUAAGGCGAGGCCGAAAGGCGUAGUCGAUGGACAACAGGUAGAAAUUCCUGUACUACAAGAUUGUGAUUGAGAGAAGUACUGACGCAGAAGGAAAAGUCGAGCGUGCGAAUGGUUGUGCACGUCCAAAUAACAAGCCAGAAUAUACAGGCAAAUCCGUAUAUUCGUCAACGUAAGUUAUGAUGGGGAGCAGAAAGAUGCGAAGCGACAGAUUCAAACUGCCAAGAAAAGGUGCUAUCGAAUAAUCUUGUACCCGUACCGCAAACCGACACAGGUAGGCAAGAAGAGAAUUCUAAGACGCGCGGAAGAACCUUUGUUAAGGAACUCGGCAAAAUAAUCCCGUAAGUUAGCGAGAAGGGAUGCCUAAGAAAUUAGGUCGCAGAGAAUAGGCCCAAGCGACUGUUUACCAAAAACACAAGUAUCUGCUAAAUCGAAAGAUGAAGUAUAGGUGCUGACACCUGCCCGGUGCUGGAAGGUCAAGGGGACUUGUUAGAGCAAUCGAAGCAACGAACUUAAGCCCCAGUAAACGGCGGCCGUAACUAUAACGGUCCUAAGGUAGCGAAAUUCCUUGUCGGGUAAGUUCCGACCCGCACGAAAGGUGUAACGA
Molecule: ribosomal RNA, 1779 nt
Filed under: human vaginal metagenome
Description: bacterial LSU rRNA
Rfam family: Bacterial large subunit ribosomal RNA
Source: RNAcentral